Molecule: non-coding RNA, 462 nt
Organism: Triticum urartu
Lineage: Eukaryota; Viridiplantae; Streptophyta; Magnoliopsida; Poales; Poaceae
Source: RefSeq, a predicted model, not a curated record
AAAUUCACUGAUCUGAAACUAUUGGAUCUUACUAGGAUCCCCUCUUCUCUGUAAUACUCAGGGCCAUCUCCUCUACCUAUUCGGCCAACAGUUUCAGCAUCCAGCAACCAUGGUGACAAAGCUGAGCAUACUGGAACUGCUCUAAGUUUCCACGUUCUCGGCUACAGAGACUCGAUUGUUCCAAGUCGAUGUUGUUGGCGCUAAAACAUAGAAGACUACUGUGCCAAGCUGGAUUUACUAGGAGAUAGAUUCAAAUAUUCGAUGGUGCAUAUCUCAGAUGUUGGUUGCAAGGUCAAGAAUAGGGGUGCUACUAGAUAGUUUCACAUUGUGUCUUAGAAUGCCAUUUCCAGUUCCAAUGUUUCAAUCAUUAUGUAUCUGAUAUUUUUGGUAUCAAUGUUAGAUCAUUAUGUUUCAGAAUGGCUGACACGAAGGUUGCAAGGUCAAGAAUGGGAUUACUACUAG